RNAcentral lists this RNase P RNA (332 nucleotides) under Rubrivivax sp. Its description in RNAcentral is "RNase P RNA component class A". It matches the Rfam family "Bacterial RNase P class A". Rfam says of the family: Ribonuclease P (RNase P) is a ubiquitous endoribonuclease, found in archaea, bacteria and eukarya as well as chloroplasts and mitochondria. Its best characterised activity is the generation of mature 5'-ends of tRNAs by cleaving the 5'-leader elements of precursor-tRNAs. The record is from RNAcentral. Lineage: Bacteria; Pseudomonadati; Pseudomonadota; Betaproteobacteria; Burkholderiales; Sphaerotilaceae.
GAAGCAAGCCAGACCGCCGCUGGUGCGAGCGUCGAAAGACGGCACUGGAGGAAGGUCCGGACUGCACAGAGCAGCGCAGCGGCCAACGGCCGUCCACCGCGAGGUGAGGAUCAGAGCAACAGAGACGAGUCGGCGCCGCGAGGCGCUGGGUGAAACGGGCAAUCUCUGCGCGCAGCAACACCAAGUAGGCCAGCGUUGACGCGGCUCGCGGAGCUGGCGGGUAGGUGGCACCGAGCCGUCCGGCAACGGGCGGCCCAGAUGAAUGGCGGUCACGCCGGUGCCUCGCAAGGGGUGCCGGUGCACAGAAUCCGGCCUAUCGGCUUGCUUCACAC